UGCAGGGAGGGGGUUACUGGAGAUCUCACAGUCAGGCUAAAGCUAGGGCAAUUACAUGGUUUAUGGGCAGGGCUAUGUAUGGUGUGAGACCGUGUUUGACUGAUGACACUGCAAAAACAGCCCGGUCAGGGGACCCGGUUACAUCAUCCCCUUCCCCGCCCCCAAUGGUUUGUACUACAGAAAUAACACUCCUCUCCUGAAAGAGCUUUACGUCUUCAAAGUGCUGUAUUAACUAUCAUCAGUCAUGACACCACAGUGUGAAGAGCAAACCCAUGGACCUGGUACGGAUGUAGUCUCUUUACUUCACUUGUGUGUCUAUUCAAUAAACUGGAAUUUCAAGGUCA
This is a long non-coding RNA of Caretta caretta (loggerhead turtle), 344 nucleotides long. RefSeq lists it as uncharacterized. The record is from RefSeq and is a predicted model, not a curated record. Lineage: Eukaryota; Metazoa; Chordata; Testudines; Cheloniidae.